Molecule: long non-coding RNA, 1340 nt
Filed under: Homo sapiens (human)
Lineage: Eukaryota; Metazoa; Chordata; Mammalia; Primates; Hominidae
Description: long intergenic non-protein coding RNA 1608
Source: RNAcentral
CACUUUCUCAGUUUCCUUUACUUGCAUGGAAACCAAUCAAUGAGAAGUGAACAGAAGUUGGCUAAUUAAAAUUAAAUUUAAAAAAUAAUAUUAUUAUAAAAAGAGACAAAGUUUACCGAAGCAAACUUUCUCAGUUCUUCCAUCAUGCUUUCUUUAAAGUGAACAAUUUCUUUUUCUGCAUCCGCUGCUCUGUUAAGUGAUCACCACAUUCAUUGUUCUCGUUUCUAUUAUUUCUGAAAAAAAUCUUCAGGAUUCUGCUUGUGGGAGUGGAUGACAUUUUUACAGUGUUUACAGACACAAAAUGAACAAGAUGUCUGUGGCAACCCUCAGACCAUUGACGCCUUCUCUCCUAUGUAUCAAAUCACACAUUUGGACGUUGACUGAACCCUCACAUGUCAGAUGCUCAAUAUUGAGGUAUAGUAAAAGGGAGCAUGAACUUGAGAAAAUACGCUUUCAACACAAAGCUGUAAUAAUAUAAGGUCAAAUAAGAUUCUGCAUUGGAGAUAGAAAACUCUGAAGGAAGCUUUAUCUAUUCCAGAAUGUCAUAUAGCUGGUAUAAGAAAGAACACUAAUCAUUCCUAAGGAAGAAAAUUAACAACGCCGUGAGUUAUAAUAUCUGGCUGAAACUGAAGGAGCUCUGUGUAAUUAAAAGUCCUUUCUGCCCUGCCUGGCCAUGGUUCUGUAUGCAUUGAUGUCUUACAAACUGAAAAAAAAAAAAGUUAUUUUCUCAUCUCCAUUCCCUAGCAUAGACAUAUUACAUGAUGUGGAAUUGAAACAAGAAAAUUGCAUUUUAAUCUUCCACUCAGAACAUAGAAGAAUGAAACAAACAAACAAAAAAUACUCUGUUGUCUUAGUCUACCACAAGCAAAAUCUGGCAGUCUCUUUGCUUUGGUAAUGGCAUAAAUUCCUUGAUUAGCCUAUAGGAUAGCCCAUUGUUCUGCUCUUUUAGUGGAAUAGCUAGCAAUUGCUUUGUCAUUUUUUCCCCAUGGUUCCUACCAUUAGUGUUGGGAGGUUUCUUCUUUGUUUUUUUGAGAAAGAGGAAAAAGUUGUUAUAUUUUCAUAAAAACUUAAAUUUCAUCCAAAAUACUUGAUUUUCAUGAAGAAAGUAAAUAUCUCUGCCCCUAGUAUACAUGUGUGGAAACUUUCAGAACCCUGAAGAUAAAUACAUUUCAAACAAGUGAGUUUGAAAAUAUCAAUAGCAAAAUAGGAAGUAAGCUAAUUAGAGAGGUAAGAACUAGAUGGCUUAGCAUUCCAAUAAUAAUAUAUAACCUUCUUUAAGAGUAAAAUCUUGGUCAAAAGACAGAUGAAAACUCCAAUAAAAUUUCACAACUCAUGGAAAA